This 600-nucleotide ribosomal RNA is filed under the name uncultured bacterium. RNAcentral's name for it is "bacterial SSU rRNA". It matches the Rfam family "Bacterial small subunit ribosomal RNA", at positions 252 to 866 of the family's 1533-position model. The record is from RNAcentral.
GUGAGGUAACGGCCCACCAAGGCGACGACGGGUAGCUGGUCUGAGAGGACGAUCAGCCACACUGGGACUGAGACACGGCCCAGACUCCUACGGGAGGCAGCAGUGGGGAAUCUUGCGCAAUGGGCGAAAGCCUGACGCAGCAACGCCGCGUGCGGGAUGAAUGCCUUCGGGUUGUAAACCGCUUUCAGCAGGGACGAUAGUGACGGUACCUGCAGAAGAAGCUCCGGCCAACUACGUGCCAGCAGCCGCGGUAAUACGUAGGGAGCGAGCGUUGUCCGGAAUCAUUGGGCGUAAAGAGCUCGUAGGCGGCUUGGUAAGUCGGAUGUGAAACCUCCAGGCUCAACCUGGAGUCGCCAUCCGAUACUGCCAUAGCUAGAGUCCGGUAGGGGCCCACGGAACUCCUGGUGUAGCGGUGAAAUGCGCAGAUAUCAGGAAGAACACCGGUGGCGAAGGCGGUGGGCUGGGCCGGCACUGACGCUGAGGAGCGAAAGCGUGGGGAGCGAACAGGAUUAGAUACCCUGGUAGUCCACGCCGUAAACGUUGGGCACUAGGUGUGGGACCUUAUCAACGGGUUCCGUGCCGUAGCUAACGCAUUAAGUG